GGGGCGUGGUCAAGCGAGCUGUCUAGCACGUGCAGACAAUGCACUAUCAUCAAUACAAACCAAACAUCCGAACGCAUGAAAGUUUUGCGCUUUUGGAUUAUAAGGACUAAACGGGAUCAAGCCUCAAUGGACUUUCACGUGUUUUAGAUAAAACUCUUCGAGGAUAACUUCCUGGCAUAGAAAGAAGAGUUGAACAUACAGUAAAAGUGAAAGGCAUACAGAUUUGGAACAACAUGAGGUUGGAGUUCAGCGGCAAAGAGCAUCAAGGAAGCAUUACCACAUCACUCACAGUUCAGCUGUCCGGCAUAGCCCUGACCUCCUGAACCUUGACUUUACCUGACCUCUCUUCAGACUCUGUUUAACCAGCUCAGCGUCUCUCAGUAUCAGAUCUAGAGGGAGAGAGAGAGGGGAGCGAUCGAGGAGACGCAUCAGGAUACCAGCCUGCCUGGAGCUGCACCCAAACAUCAAGGGAGUCUGGCUUACACCAGCUCUAAAUCUAUACUGGCCAAGGCAGAUUUUUGUGCUGGUGUAAUGAUCAACCAGUACACCAGCAUCCUAUGAUGGUCAACCAGUACACCAGCAUCCCAUGAUGGUCAACCAGUACACCAGCAUCCCAUGAUGGUCAACCAGUACAUCAGCAUGCCAUGUUGGUCAACCAGUACAUCAGCAUGCCAUGAUGGUCAACCAGUACACCAGCAUCCCAUGAUGGUCAACCAGUACAUCAGCAUACCCUGAUGGUCUGCCAGUACACCGGUAUACUGUGAUUGUCAACCAGUACACUAGCAUCCUAUGAUAAUUAACCAGUAUACCAAC
Molecule: long non-coding RNA, 813 nt
Organism: Carassius auratus (goldfish)
Lineage: Eukaryota; Metazoa; Chordata; Actinopteri; Cypriniformes; Cyprinidae
Exons: 5
Source: RefSeq, a predicted model, not a curated record